This 524-nucleotide ribosomal RNA is filed under the name uncultured Rhodoferax sp. Its description in RNAcentral is "bacterial SSU rRNA". It matches the Rfam family "Bacterial small subunit ribosomal RNA", at positions 1 to 526 of the family's 1533-position model. The record is from RNAcentral. Lineage: Bacteria; Pseudomonadati; Pseudomonadota; Betaproteobacteria; Burkholderiales; Comamonadaceae.
UAGAGUUUGAUCCUGGCUCAGAUUGAACGCUGGCGGCAUGCCUUACACAUGCAAGUCGAACGGCAGCACGGGAGCAAUCCUGGUGGCGAGUGGCGAACGGGUGAGUAAUGUAUCGGAACGUGCCCAGCCGUGGGGGAUAACGCAGCGAAAGCUGUGCUAAUACCGCAUACGAUCUAUGGAUGAAAGCGGGGGAUCGCAAGACCUCGCGCGAUUGGAGCGGCCGAUAUCAGAUUAGGUAGUUGGUGGGGUAAAGGCCCACCAAGCCGACGAUCUGUAGCUGGUCUGAGAGGACGACCAGCCACACUGGAACUGAGACACGGUCCAGACUCCUACGGGAGGCAGCAGUGGGGAAUUUUGGACAAUGGGCGCAAGCCUGAUCCAGCAAUGCCGCGUGCAGGAUGAAGGCCUUCGGGUUGUAAACUGCUUUUGUACGGAACGAAACGGCUCUUUCUAAUACAAGGGGCUAAUGACGGUACCGUAAGAAUAAGCACCGGCUAACUACGUGCCAGCAGCCGCGGUAAUAC